This 994-nucleotide ribosomal RNA is filed under the name Salmonella enterica. RNAcentral's name for it is "partial 23S ribosomal RNA". It matches the Rfam family "Bacterial large subunit ribosomal RNA", at positions 1942 to 2925 of the family's 2925-position model. The record is from RNAcentral. Lineage: Bacteria; Pseudomonadati; Pseudomonadota; Gammaproteobacteria; Enterobacterales; Enterobacteriaceae.
AUAACGGUCCUAAGGUAGCGAAAUUCCUUGUCGGGUAAGUUCCGACCUGCACGAAUGGCGUAAUGAUGGCCAGGCUGUCUCCACCCGGGACUCAGUGAAAUUGAACUCGCUGUGAAGAUGCAGUGUACCCGCGGCAAGACGGAAAGACCCCGUGAACCUUUACUAUAGCUUGACACUGAACACUGGUCCUUGAUGUGCAGGAUAGGUGGGAGGCUUUGAAGUGUGGACGCCAGUCUGCAUGGAGCCAUCCUUGAAAUACCACCCUUUAAUGGCUGGUGUUCUAACGUGGGCCCGUGAACCGGGUUGCGGACAGUGUCUGGUGGGUAGUUUGACUGGGGCGGUCUCCUCCUAAAGAGUAACGGAGGAGCACGAAGGUUGGCUAAUCCUGGUCGGACAUCAGGAGGUUAGUGCAAUGGCAUAAGCCAGCUUGACUGCGAGCGUGACGGCGCGAGCAGGUGCGAAAGCAGGUCAUAGUGAUCCGGUGGUUCUGAAUGGAAGGGCCAUCGCUCAACGGAUAAAAGGUACUCCGGGGAUAACAGGCUGAUACCGCCCAAGAGUUCAUAUCGACGGCGGUGUUUGGCACCUCGAUGUCGGCUCAUCACAUCCUGGGGCUGAAGUAGGUCCCAAGGGUAUGGCUGUUCGCCAUUUAAAGUGGUACGCGAGCUGGGUUUAGAACGUCGUGAGACAGUUCGGUCCCUAUCUGCCGUGGGCGCUGGAAGAUUGAGGGGGGCUGCUCCUAGUACGAGAGGACCGGAGUGGACGCAUCACUGGUGUUCGGGUUGUCAUGCCAAUGGCACUGCCCGGUAGCUACAUGCGGAAGAGAUAAGUGCUGAAAGCAUCUAAGCACGAAACUUGCCCCGAGAUGAAUCUUCCCUGAGCCUUUAAGGCUCCUGAAGGAACGUUGAAGACGACGACGUUGAUAGGCCGGGUGUGUAAGCGCAGCGAUGCGUUGAGCUAACCGGUACUAAUGAACCGUGAGGCUUAACCUUACAAC